GAUGAACGCUGGCGGCGUGCCUAAUACAUGCAAGUCGAGCGAACGGACGAGAAGCUUGCUUCUCUGAUGUUAGCGGCGGACGGGUGAGUAACACGUGGAUAACCUACCUAUAAGACUGGGAUAACUUCGUGAAACCGGAGCUAAUUCCGGCUAAUAUUUUGAACCGCAUGGUUCAAGAGUGAAAGACGGUCUUGCUGUCACUUAUAGAUGGAUCCGCGCUGCAUUAGCUAGUUGGUAAGGUAACGGCGUACCAAGGCAACGAUGCAUAGCCGACCUGAGAGGGUGAUCAGCCACACUGGAACUGAGACACGGUCCAGACUCCUACGGGAGGCAGCAGUAGGGAAUCUUGCGCAAUGGGCGAAAGCCUGACGGAGCAACGCCGCGUGAGUGAUGAAGGUCUUCGGAUCGUAAAACUCUGUUAUUAGGGAAGAACAUAUGUGUAAGUAACUGUGCACAUCUUGACGGUACCUAAUCAGAAAGCCACGGCUAACUCCGUG
Molecule: ribosomal RNA, 497 nt
Filed under: uncultured bacterium
Lineage: Bacteria
Description: partial 16S ribosomal RNA
Rfam family: Bacterial small subunit ribosomal RNA
Source: RNAcentral